GACGGAGGAUGCAAGCGUUAUCGGGAAUGAUUGGGCGUAAAGCGUCCGCAGGUGGCAGUUCAAGUCUGCUGUCAAAGACCGGGGCUUAACUUCGGAAAGGCAGUGGAAACUGAACAGCUAGAGUAUGGUAGGGGCAGAGGGAAUUCCUGGUGUAGCGGUGAAAUGCGUAGAGAUCAGGAAGAACAUCGGUGGCGAAGGCGCUCUGCUGGACCAUAACUGACACUCAGGGACGAAAGCUAGGGGAGCGAAUGGG
This 253-nucleotide ribosomal RNA is filed under the name uncultured bacterium. RNAcentral describes it as "partial 16S ribosomal RNA". It matches the Rfam family "Bacterial small subunit ribosomal RNA", at positions 524 to 776 of the family's 1533-position model. The record is from RNAcentral.